UACAGAGGUCUCAAGCGUUGUUCGGAUUCAUUGGGCGUAAAGGGUGCGUAGGCGGCGCGGUAAGUCGGGUGUGAAAUCUUGGAGCUUAACUCCGAAACUGCAUUCGAUACUGCCGUGCUUGAGGACUGGAGAGGAGACUGGAAUUUACGGUGUAGCGGUGAAAUGCGUAGAUAUCGUAAGGAAGACCAGUGGCGAAGGCGAGUCUCUGGACAGUUACUGACACUGAGGCACGAAGGCCAGGGGAGCAAACGGG
Molecule: ribosomal RNA, 253 nt
Filed under: uncultured bacterium
Lineage: Bacteria
Description: partial 16S ribosomal RNA
Rfam family: Bacterial small subunit ribosomal RNA
Source: RNAcentral